RNAcentral lists this ribosomal RNA (403 nucleotides) under Verrucomicrobiota bacterium. Its description in RNAcentral is "Verrucomicrobia bacterium partial 16S ribosomal RNA". It matches the Rfam family "Bacterial small subunit ribosomal RNA", at positions 355 to 776 of the family's 1533-position model. Lineage: Bacteria; Pseudomonadati; Verrucomicrobiota. The record is from RNAcentral.
UGGGGAAUAUUGCACAAUGCGGGAAACCCUGAUGCAGCGACGCCGCGUGAGCGAAGAAGGCUUUCGAUUCGUAAAUCUCUGUCCUAUGAGAAGAUAAUGACGGUAUCAUAGGAGGAAGCCCCGGCUAAAUACGUGCCAGCAGCCGCGGUAAUACGUAUGGGGCGAGCGUUGUCCGGAAUUAUUGGGCGUAAAGGGUACGUAGGCGGUCUAUUAAGUCAGGUGUGAAAGCGUGAGGCUUAACCUCAUUAAACACUUGAAACUGAUAGACUUGAGUGAAGGAGAGGAAAGGGGAAUUCCUAGUGUAGCGGUGAAAUGCGUAGAUAUUAGGAGGAAUACCGGUGGCGAAGGCGACUUUCUGGCCUUUUACUGACGCUCAGGUACGAAAGCGUGGGGAGCAAACAGG